GGCCAGACUCCUACGGGAGGCAGCAGUGGGGGAUAUUGCACAAUGGGGGGAACCCUGAUGCAGCGACGCCGCGUGGGUGAAGAAGCGCCUCGGCGCGUAAAGCCCUGUCAGCAGGGAAGAAAAUGACGGUACCUGAAGAAGAAGCCCCGGCUAACUACGUGCCAGCAGCCGCGGUAAUACGUAGGGGGCAAGCGUUAUCCGGAUUUACUGGGUGUAAAGGGGGCGCAGACGGCGAUGCAAGCCAGGAGUGAAAGCCUGGGGCCCAACCCCGGGACUGCUCUUGGAACUGCGUGGCUGGAGUGCAGGAGGGGCAGGCGGAAUUCCUGGUGUAGCGGUGAAAUGCGUAGAUAUCAGGAGGAACACCGGUGGCGAAGGCGGCCUGCUGGACUGCAACUGACGUUGAGGCCCGAAAGCGUGGGGAGCAAACAGGAUUAGAUACCCGAGUAAU
RNAcentral lists this ribosomal RNA (448 nucleotides) under uncultured bacterium. RNAcentral's name for it is "bacterial SSU rRNA". It matches the Rfam family "Bacterial small subunit ribosomal RNA", at positions 329 to 794 of the family's 1533-position model. The record is from RNAcentral.